RNAcentral lists this ribosomal RNA (262 nucleotides) under uncultured Burkholderiales bacterium. RNAcentral's name for it is "partial 16S ribosomal RNA". It matches the Rfam family "Bacterial small subunit ribosomal RNA", at positions 524 to 785 of the family's 1533-position model. The record is from RNAcentral. Lineage: Bacteria; Pseudomonadati; Pseudomonadota; Betaproteobacteria; Burkholderiales.
UACGUAGGGUGCGAGCGUUAAUCGGAAUUACUGGGCGUAAAGCGUGCGCAGGCGGCUUUGCAAGACAGAGGUGAAAUCCCCGGGCUCAACCUGGGAACUGCCUUUGUGACUGCAAGGCUAGAGUACGGCAGAGGGGGAUGGAAUUCCGCGUGUAGCAGUGAAAUGCGUAGAUAUGCGGAGGAACACCGAUGGCGAAGGCAAUCCCCUGGGCCUGUACUGACGCUCAUGCACGAAAGCGUGGGGAGCAAACAGGAUUAGAUAC